Molecule: long non-coding RNA, 673 nt
Filed under: Nicotiana benthamiana
Lineage: Eukaryota; Viridiplantae; Streptophyta; Magnoliopsida; Solanales; Solanaceae
Description: long non-coding RNA (NBEN_LNC022678)
Source: RNAcentral
UUCAUUCCAAGAGAGCCCAUCAAUGCAUAUAAAGCUAGACUUUAUUUCCUUUGUCCAGGGUCGUAUUUAUAGAGACAAGAAAGCACAUAAUGUCUUUUGAACGAAGACAUUUAUUCAGAAAUCCUUACUUUCCAUGAAAUAUCACAAAACCUUGGCUACAACAACAACAACAAUGACUACCCAGUAUAGUCCCACGAGGUGGGGUCUGGAGAGGGUAAUAUGUACACAGACCUUACCCCAACCCGAAAGGGCAGAGAAGCUGUUUCCAAUUGACCCUCGGCUCAGGAAGGAAAGGUAAAACAAAAACAAUAACAAAAGGGCAUUAGUGUCUCCAGCAGAAAUCACAUAAAUAAUUAACUAAAUAUUAUUAUCUGAACAAUCAUUGUCUAAACAUGAAAGCAUAAAUAAGGUGACAUGCAAUAAUAUCGAACAGUAAGUACCAUAAGGGCACAAUUCAAACAUUAACUACCAUAAAUAACUGCCAUAAGGAGGCCAAAAUCCAAUGCACAAAUCGUCUAUGGAAAACCCUGUCAAGCCCUACCCAACCCCGGGAAAGGAGUACGAAAAAUUCUAGGAGACCAUAAAACCUUGGCUACACUGAUAAAUUAAUAUACUGGUUCACACUACAGAAGGAAUCCAAAUAAUAAAGAAAAUAACAGUAACCAACCUGCAA